GGAAAAGUCAGUCAAAGAGGGUAAAAACCCCGUAGACGAAAUGUGGAAGACACCUAGGAGGAUCCUGAGUACGGCGGAACACGAGAAAUUCCGUCGGAAUCCGGGAGGACCAUCUCCCAAGGCUAAAUACUCCCUAGUGACCGAUAGUGAACCAGUACCGUGAGGGAAAGGUGAAAAGCACCCCGGAAGGGGAGUGAAAUAGAACCUGAAACCGUGUGCCUACAACAAGUCAAAGCCCGUUAAUGGGUGAUGGCGUGCCUUUUGUAGAAUGAACCGGCGAGUUACGAUUGCAUGCGAGGUUAAGUUGAAGAGACGGAGCCGCAGCGAAAGCGAGUCUGAAUAGGGCGUUUGAGUAUGUAGUCGUAGACCCGAAACCAUGUGAUCUACCCAUGUCCAGGUUGAAGGUGCGGUAAAACGCACUGGAGGACCGAACCCACGUACGUUGAAAAGUGCGGGGAUGAGGUGUGGGUAGCGGAGAAAUUCCAAACGAACUUGGAGAUAGCUGGUUCUCUCCGAAAUAGCUUUAGGGCUAGCCUCGGAAUUGAGAAUGAUGGAGGUAGAGCACUGUUUGGACUAGGGGCCCAUCUCGGGUUACCGAAUUCAGAUAAACUCCGAAUGCCAUUCAUUCAUAUCCGGGAGUCAGACUGUGAGUGAUAAGAUCCAUAGUCGAAAGGGAAACAGCCCAGACCACCAGCUAAGGUCCCAAAAUAUAUGUUAAGUGGAAAAGGAUGUGGGGUUGCACAGACAACUAGG
RNAcentral lists this ribosomal RNA (753 nucleotides) under Enterococcus faecium. RNAcentral describes it as "partial 23S ribosomal RNA". It matches the Rfam family "Bacterial large subunit ribosomal RNA", at positions 344 to 1097 of the family's 2925-position model. Lineage: Bacteria; Bacillati; Bacillota; Bacilli; Lactobacillales; Enterococcaceae. The record is from RNAcentral.